UCUCCUGGGAAACGGGUGGUAAUGCCGGAUGCUCCAGUCCAUCGCAUGGUGGUCUGGGAAAGAUUUCAUCGGUAUGGGAUGGGGUCGCGUCCUAUCAGGUAGUCGGCGGGGUAACGGCCCACCGAGCCUACGACGGGUAGCCGGCCUGAGAGGGCGACCGGCCACAUUGGGACUGAGAUACGGCCCAGACUCCUACGGGAGGCAGCAGUGGGGAAUAUUGCACAAUGGGCGCAAGCCUGAUGCAGCGACGCCGCGUGCGGGAUGGAGGCCUUCGGGUUGUAAACCGCUUUUGUCGGGGAGCAAGCCUUCGGGUGAGUGUACCCUUCGAAUAAGCACCGGCUAACUACGUGCCAGCAGCCGCGGUAAUACGUAGGGUGCAAGCGUUAUCCGGAAUUAUUGGGCGUAAAGAGCUCGUAGGCGGUUCGUCGCGUCCGGUGUGAAAGUCCAUCGCUUAACGGUGGAUCUGCGCCGGGUACGGGCGGGCUGGAGUGCGGUAGGGGAGACUGGAAUUCCCGGUGUAACGGUGGAAUGUGUAGAUAUCG
RNAcentral lists this ribosomal RNA (542 nucleotides) under Bifidobacterium angulatum. RNAcentral describes it as "bacterial SSU rRNA". It matches the Rfam family "Bacterial small subunit ribosomal RNA", at positions 146 to 699 of the family's 1533-position model. Lineage: Bacteria; Bacillati; Actinomycetota; Actinomycetes; Bifidobacteriales; Bifidobacteriaceae. The record is from RNAcentral.